This 253-nucleotide ribosomal RNA is filed under the name uncultured bacterium. RNAcentral describes it as "partial 16S ribosomal RNA". It matches the Rfam family "Bacterial small subunit ribosomal RNA", at positions 524 to 776 of the family's 1533-position model. The record is from RNAcentral.
UACGUAGGGGGCAAGCGUUGUCCGGAAUCAUUGGGCGUAAAGAGCGCGUAGGCGGCCCAGUAAGUCCGCUCUGAAAGUCAGAGGCUCAACCUCUGGAUGCGGGUGGAUACUGCUGGGCUAGAGUCCGGAAGAGGCGAGUGGAAUUCCUGGUGUAGCGGUGAAAUGCGCAGAUAUCAGGAGGAACACCGAUGGCGAAGGCAGCUCGCUGGGACGGUACUGACGCUGAGGCGCGAAAGCGUGGGGAGCGAACAGG